RNAcentral lists this ribosomal RNA (407 nucleotides) under uncultured bacterium. RNAcentral's name for it is "bacterial SSU rRNA". It matches the Rfam family "Bacterial small subunit ribosomal RNA", at positions 28 to 426 of the family's 1533-position model. The record is from RNAcentral.
GAUGAACGCUAGCUACAGGCUUAACACAUGCAAGUCGAGGGGCAGCAUCAUCAAGGCUUGCUUUGAUGGAUGGCGACCGGCGCACGGGUGAGUAACACGUAUCCAACCUGCCGACAACACUGGGAUAGCCUUUCGAAAGAAAGAUUAAUACCGGAUGGCAUAGUUUUCCCGCAUGGGAUAAUUAUUAAAGAAUUUCGGUUGUCGAUGGGGAUGCGUUCCAUUAGGCAGUUGGCGGGGUAACGGCCCACCAAACCUACGAUGGAUAGGGGUUCUGAGAGGAAGGUCCCCCACAUUGGAACUGAGACACGGUCCAAACUCCUACGGGAGGCAGCAGUGAGGAAUAUUGGUCAAUGGACGAGAGUCUGAACCAGCCAAGUAGCGUGAAGGAUGACUGCCCUAUGGGUUGU